This 636-nucleotide ribosomal RNA is filed under the name uncultured bacterium. RNAcentral's name for it is "bacterial SSU rRNA". It matches the Rfam family "Bacterial small subunit ribosomal RNA", at positions 81 to 714 of the family's 1533-position model. The record is from RNAcentral.
UGCUUCUCUUGAGAGCGGCGGACGGGUGAGUAAUGCCUAGGAAUCUGCCUGGUAGUGGGGAUAACGUCCGGAAACGGACGCUAAUACCGCAUACGUCCUACGGGAGAAAGCAGGGAACCUUCGGGCCUUGCGCUAUCAGAUGAGCCUAGGUCGGAUUAGCUAGUUGGUGGGGUAAUGGCUCACCAAGGCGACGAUCCGUAACUGGUCUGAGAGGAUGAUCAGUCACACUGGAACUGAGACACGGUCCAGACUCCUACGGGAGGCAGCAGUGGGGAAUAUUGGACAAUGGGCGAAAGCCUGAUCCAGCCAUGCCGCGUGUGUGAAGAAGGUCUUCGGAUUGUAAAGCACUUUAAGUUGGGAGGAAGGGCAGUAAAUUAAUACUUUGCUGUUUUGACGUUACCGACAGAAUAAGCACCGGCUAACUCUGUGCCAGCAGCCGCGGUAAUACAGAGGGUGCAAGCGUUAAUCGGAAUUACUGGGCGUAAAGCGCGCGUAGGUGGUUCGUUAAGUUGGAUGUGAAAUCCCCGGGCUCAACCUGGGAACUGCAUUCAAAACUGACGAGCUAGAGUAUGGUAGAGGGUGGUGGAAUUUCCUGUGUAGCGGUGAAAUGCGUAGAUAUAGGAAGGAACACCAGUG